UACGUAGGGUGCGAGCGUUGUCCGGAAUUAUUGGGCGUAAAGAGCUCGUAGGCGGUCUGUCGCGUCGAUCGUGAAAACUCGGGGCUCAACUCCGAGCUUGCAGUCGAUACGGGCAGGCUAGAGUUCGGUAGGGGAGACUGGAAUUCCUGGUGUAGCGGUGAAAUGCGCAGAUAUCAGGAGGAACACCGGUGGCGAAGGCGGGUCUCUGGGCCGAUACUGACGCUGAGGAGCGAAAGCGUGGGGAGCGAACAGG
Molecule: ribosomal RNA, 253 nt
Filed under: uncultured bacterium
Lineage: Bacteria
Description: partial 16S ribosomal RNA
Rfam family: Bacterial small subunit ribosomal RNA
Source: RNAcentral